GCUCCGAUGGCUUAGUGGUUAGAGCGUCCGCCUCAAAUGCGGGAGGUCGUGAGUUCAACUCCCGGUCGAGUCA
Potamilus streckersoni is the source of this 73-nucleotide non-coding RNA. Lineage: Eukaryota; Metazoa; Mollusca; Bivalvia; Unionida; Unionidae. The record is from the annotation of a GenBank genome assembly.